GUUUGGAGUUGGCGGAAGUCGUCGAUGUAGCUCUGCACCUUGCCUUCUUGCUUCAGUUUGGCUAAUUGGCCAUGGUGAUUAACAACUGGGGAUGGCCCCCAUUGAGUCAUAAAUUCUUGUACAAAGAUCGUCCAUCCCAAUCGAUUCCCCUCUUUCUCAUACAAAUUCCUUAGCCAUCUCCACCAUUUACUUGCUCUCCCUUCUAAAUGAUAACUAGCUAAGGUAACUCUUUCCUCCCAUGGGAUCUCAUAGACUUGGAAGUAUUGCUCCACCUUGUCGAGCCAUUUAUAUGGAUCUCC
RNAcentral lists this long non-coding RNA (299 nucleotides) under Phoenix dactylifera (date palm). Its description in RNAcentral is "long non-coding RNA (PDAC_LNC013408)". The record is from RNAcentral. Lineage: Eukaryota; Viridiplantae; Streptophyta; Magnoliopsida; Arecales; Arecaceae.